AGAUUGAACGCUGGCGGCAGGCCUAACACAUGCAAGUCGAGCGGUAGAGAGGUGCUUGCAUCUCUUGAGAGCGGCGGACGGGUGAGUAAUGCCUAGGAAUCUGCCUAGUGGUGGGGGAUAACGUUCGGAAACGGACGCUAAUACCGCAUACGUCCUACGGGAGAAAGCGGGGGACCUUCGGGCCUCGCGCCAUUAGAUGAGCCUAGGUCGGAUUAGCUAGUUGGUGAGGUAAUGGCUCACCAAGGCGACGAAUCCGUAACUGGUCUGAGAGGAUGAUCAGUCACACUGGAACUGAGACACGGUCCAGACU
This 310-nucleotide ribosomal RNA is filed under the name uncultured soil bacterium. Its description in RNAcentral is "bacterial SSU rRNA". It matches the Rfam family "Bacterial small subunit ribosomal RNA", at positions 26 to 337 of the family's 1533-position model. The record is from RNAcentral.